GAAUGAUGGUGACCCAAACCCUCACCAGAGUAGCAAUUGGAGGGCAAGUCUGGUGCCAGCAGCCGCGGUAAUUCCAGCUCCAAUAGCGUAUAUUAAACUUGUUGCAGUUAAAAAGCUCGUAGUUGUAUUUUUGCGUUAGCGGUUUGACCAUUUGGUUGGUUAUUUCGUUUUCGCUUUUGGGAAUUUCCCUUUUUACUUUGAGAAAAUUAGAGUGUUUCAAGCAGACUUUUGUCUUGAAUACUUCAGCAUGGAAUAAUAGAGUAGGACUUUGGUUCUAUUUUGUUGGUUAUUGAACCUUAGUAAUGGUUAAUAGGAACGGUUGGGGGCAUUCGUAUUUAACUGUCAGAGGUGAAAUUCUUAGA
RNAcentral lists this ribosomal RNA (362 nucleotides) under Babesia canis. RNAcentral describes it as "SSU rRNA". It matches the Rfam family "Eukaryotic small subunit ribosomal RNA", at positions 512 to 924 of the family's 1831-position model. Lineage: Eukaryota; Apicomplexa; Aconoidasida; Piroplasmida; Babesiidae. The record is from RNAcentral.